Long non-coding RNA from Hemicordylus capensis (graceful crag lizard), 2102 nucleotides. RefSeq lists it as uncharacterized. NCBI's taxonomy places the organism in Eukaryota, Metazoa, Chordata, Lepidosauria, Squamata, Cordylidae. The record is from RefSeq and is a predicted model, not a curated record. The transcript has 4 exons.
CUGAUAUUCUUCAAGCUCGUCUUUCUUCAUAGAAUGACUUGUACACUGGCCCAUAUUCUCCUGCCUGGAAUGUCGAUGGCCAGAAGAAGAAUAGAACAAAGGUGCUGGUCACCCAUGGCAACCAGAUACACAGCAUCUCUCUGGCCACCUCCCAGUAUCAUGGGUGCAGAAUAGCCUCUUCCCAUAAAACCUGCAUGGACCCUUUCACCGGGGAUCAUAUAGCUGUGUGGAAAAGCCAACAUUGUUGAGUACUGGAAGGCCCUGGGUUCUUGCUCCUGUUUUGCUCCACAUCUCUCACAGCCAGCCAUGCGCCCAAGUCCAUGCUUCUAGCAAUUCCACUCCGUUCCUUUCUUACAGUCACAGACCAGUCCACAGGCAAGAGGUUGUUAGUUUUAGCGAAACUGCUCCUCCUGCUGGGUGCUUUGCUGUUUAUGUUUUGAAUGCAAUUUGCCUGAGCGGAAGCCUUUUGCUGCUGUUGAGCGGCGAAUCUGGAAAGCGCCCUGGACAAGGACAUCCAGGAGCUGCAACAGAAGACAGCCAAACAAGCAUGUUUGUUUCUUGCUGGGACAGCAUACCCACACUCGCUUAGAAACUGAAAGGGACAAGAAAGAGAGAUCCAGAGGUGGAGUCCCCCUCCAGUCCACAAUAAAAGGUUGUAAUUGCUCUUUAAUGGUCAUUAUACAACAGAGGACAUUUAUAAGCAAUUGCUUAGGUGUAUUAUACAUCAAUAAGACUCUAACAUGUUUGGCACUGAAUGUGACGGAGAUGUUAAAAAUAACACAAGUGCUUUAGGUGAUAUUUCGUGGGAAUGUGUUUCCAGUGGUACUAUUGGAAACAUAUAUCAGAGACAUUAUUGGCUACAAGUUUUGAUAGCUGUUUUGUUAGGCUAUUUAAACUUGGAGGUCAAGAGUAUUUUGGACAAAUAAAGGAUCUCGUUGGCAAAAUCUUGGAAAUAGCAUUAAUGGAUAUUUGGAAACGCAGAAUCUGAAACUUUAUGUUGAUGAACAAACUUGUUGCUUACUUAUUUCAAACAUCUUUGGGAAGGGAAAAUUGGAAAGGGGAAACUCAGUCAGAUCAGAGAUUCAGUAUUUCCAGACACGGUCCUUGAACAGUCGCUUAUUUUUCUCUGAAUGGUACAAACUUAUGUGAGUUGUUUCCUUUCCACGCUGUGCAUGGAACAUUUGCUCUUCAGUUGUUUAGAAAUGUGAGAUGUUUUUUCUUUUACAUUUUAAAUUCUAUUUGUACAACAUUAAUAUUUAUGUUUUUAAAAUGGACUGUUGCUGUGGAUACAAAUGGUCAAAUGUUGAUGGCUGCUGAACAAUAAUGAGAUGUUGAAUAUUGAUGCUGAAUAUCAAAUAUUUGCUGAAUAUCUGUACACUGAGAGACUGUUUGCCAGCAACAUUUGCAGAGGAGGAGCAAACCCCUUUCCAGUCGAAUUCCAAGGUUCCAGAGUCCUUUUCUCCUCCUGGUUUGCAGCACAACAGAAUGCCCGUGACAGGAGGAGACCCAAGUUGACCUCAUCACAGACCCCUGGAAAGGAAACGUGUUGGAAGAAAAGAGAAGCGGCCAAGCUGAGCUUGAAAUCGGAUUUAUUUCAUUUCUAAAAUGAAAGUAGAAGAGCAGUACAAAUAUGCUUUGGCAUGAGAAAGAGAGAAUAUUUGCCCAGGAGCCUUUGCUUCCAUUCUUCCCCCACCCCGCUCGCUGCCCUCCAAUUCUUCUGUGCAUGGGAGGCUGAAACCACCCAAGGAGGCCGACUCAACCUACCAGUCAAUCCAAAUCCCGUCCCAGCAACCCUGCAAUGCCCGACUUCCUAGCGAUAUGUGCGAUGGAUGAAUCCCUGAGCGACUUCCCUGCAGUCGAGGGCCCCAGUCCAAGGGCAGAACAUUUGAAAGCAACCACUGCAUUUCCUCCCGAGAUGGCCUCCCUCUCGGCUCAGUCCUGACGACUUCUGCUGGCUGGGGGCAGGGUCUGGCCUCAGGCUGGUGCCCAUGUUCUGUUAUUCUAGAGCAACGCAGCCUGCCUCUGAUUUGUUGACAUGGUCAAGUGAUUCAUCCAAGGCCAAAAUGAAUUGAACUGAGUCGCUUCUUGAAUUAAAAGAGCCA